This 468-nucleotide ribosomal RNA is filed under the name uncultured bacterium. Its description in RNAcentral is "partial 16S ribosomal RNA". It matches the Rfam family "Bacterial small subunit ribosomal RNA", at positions 28 to 507 of the family's 1533-position model. The record is from RNAcentral.
GACGAACGCUGGCGGCGUGCUUAACACAUGCAAGUCGAACGGAAAGGCCCUGCUUUUGUGGGGUGCCCGAGUGGCGAACGGGUGAGUAACACGUGAGUAACCUGCCCUUGACUUUGGGAUAACUUCAGGAAACUGGGGCUAAUACCGGAUAGGAGCUCCUGCUGCAUGGUGGGGGUUGGAAAGUUUCGGCGGUUGGGGAUGGACUCGCGGCUUAUCAGCUUGUUGGUGGGGUAGUGGCUUACCAAGGCUUUGACGGGUAGCCGGCCUGAGAGGGUGACCGGCCACAUUGGGACUGAGAUAUGGCCCAGACUCCUACGGGAGGCAGCAGUGGGGAAUAUUGCACAAUGGGCGGAAGCCUGAUGCAGCAACGCCGCGUGCGGGAUGACGGCCUUCGGGUUGUAAACCGCUUUCGCCUGUGACGAAGCGUGAGUGACGGUAAUGGGUAAAGAAGCACCGGCUAACUACGUG